This 90-nucleotide transfer RNA is filed under the name Pseudomonadales bacterium. RNAcentral's name for it is "tRNA-Ser". It matches the Rfam family "tRNA". From Rfam's summary of the family: Transfer RNA (tRNA) molecules are approximately 80 nucleotides in length. Their secondary structure includes four short double-helical elements and three loops (D, anti-codon, and T loops). Further hydrogen bonds mediate the characteristic L-shaped molecular structure. tRNAs have two regions of fundamental functional importance: the anti-codon, which is responsible for specific mRNA codon recognition, and the 3' end, to which the tRNAs corresponding amino acid is attached (by aminoacyl-tRNA synthetases). tRNAs cope with the degeneracy of the genetic code in two manners: having more than one tRNA (with a specific anti-codon) for a particular amino acid; and 'wobble' base-pairing, i.e. permitting non-standard base-pairing at the 3rd anti-codon position. Lineage: Bacteria; Pseudomonadati; Pseudomonadota; Gammaproteobacteria; Pseudomonadales. RNAcentral also lists the same sequence under 9 other names. The record is from RNAcentral.
GGAGGGAUGGCUGAGUGGACGAAAGCGACGGUCUUGAAAACCGUUAUGGGGGCAACCUCAUCGUGGGUUCGAAUCCCACUCCCUCCGCCA